Molecule: ribosomal RNA, 441 nt
Filed under: uncultured bacterium
Lineage: Bacteria
Description: bacterial SSU rRNA
Rfam family: Bacterial small subunit ribosomal RNA
Source: RNAcentral
GUAAGGGAUCUUGCGCAAUGGGCGGAAGCCUGACGCAGCAACGCCGCGUGCCCGACGAAGGCCUUCGGGUCGUAAAGGGCUUUUCUGGCUGAGGAAGGCGGCCUGACGGUCGCUUGACGGCAGGCCAGGAAGAAGUGUCGGCUAACUACGUGCCAGCAGCCGCGGUAAAACGUAGGACGCGAGCGUUAUCCGGAGUUACUGGGCGUAAAGGGCGGGCAGGCGGUGGCUCACAUUGGACGUGAAAGCGCCCGGCUCAACCGGGCGAGGCCGUUCGACACGGGGUCACUGGAGGGCCGUAGAGGUGCGUGGAAUUCCGGGUGGAGUGGUGAAAUGCGUAGAGAUCCGGAGGAACACCAGAGGCGAAGGCGACGCACUGGGCGGCCCCUGACGCUGAGCCGCGACAGCCAGGGGAGCGAACGGGAUUAGAAACCCUUGUAGUCC